This 553-nucleotide ribosomal RNA is filed under the name uncultured Nitrososphaerota archaeon. RNAcentral's name for it is "bacterial SSU rRNA". It matches the Rfam family "Archaeal small subunit ribosomal RNA", at positions 325 to 879 of the family's 1478-position model. The record is from RNAcentral. Lineage: Archaea; Thermoproteati; Nitrososphaerota.
ACGGGGUGCAGCAGGCGCGAAAACUUUGCAAUGUGCGAAAGCACGACAAGGUUAAUCCGAGUGGUUUCUGCUAAAGAAACCUUUUGUCAGUCCUAGAAACACUGAUGAAUAAGGGGUGGGCAAGUUCUGGUGUCAGCCGCCGCGGUAAAACCAGCACCUCAAGUGGUCAGGAUGAUUAUUGGGCCUAAAGCAUCCGUAGCUCGUUUUGUAAGUUUUCGGUUAAAUCCAUGCGCUUAACGUAUGGGCUGCCGGGAAUACUGCAUAACUAGGAAGUGGGAGAGGUAGACGGUACUCGGUAGGAAGGGGUAAAAUCCUUUGAUCUAUUGAUGACCACCUGUGGCGAAGGCGGUCUACCAGAACACGUUCGACGGUGAGGGAUGAAAGCUGGGGGAGCAAACCGGAUUAGAUACCCGGGUAGUCCCAGCUGUAAACUAUGCAAACUCAGUGAUGCAUUGGCUUGUGGCCAAUGCAGUGCUGCAGGGAAGCCGUUAAGUUUGCCGCCUGGGAAGUACGUACGCAAGUAUGAAACUUAAAGGAAUUGGCGGGGGAGCAC